This 73-nucleotide transfer RNA is filed under the name Camelus bactrianus (Bactrian camel). It matches the Rfam family "tRNA". Rfam says of the family: Transfer RNA (tRNA) molecules are approximately 80 nucleotides in length. Lineage: Eukaryota; Metazoa; Chordata; Mammalia; Artiodactyla; Camelidae. The record is from Rfam by way of RNAcentral. RNAcentral also lists the same sequence under 2 other names.
GAGGAUAUAGCUCAAGUAGUAGAGGGCAUGCUUAGCAUGCACGAGGUCCUGGGUUCAAUCCCCAGUAGCUCCU